This 1633-nucleotide ribosomal RNA is filed under the name Neojahnula australiensis. Its description in RNAcentral is "SSU rRNA". It matches the Rfam family "Eukaryotic small subunit ribosomal RNA". The record is from RNAcentral. Lineage: Eukaryota; Fungi; Ascomycota; Dothideomycetes; Jahnulales; Aliquandostipitaceae.
AUAAGCAAUCUAUACUGUGAAACUGCGAAUGGCUCAUUAAAUCAGUUAUCGUUUAUUUGAUAGUACCUUACUACACGGAUAUCUGUGGUAAUUCUAGAGUUAAUACGUGCUAAAAACCUCGACUUCGGGAGGGGUGUAUUUAUUAGACUAAAAACCAACGCCCUUCGGGGCUCCUUGGUGAUUCAUAAUAACUCAACGAAUCGCAUGGCCUUGCGCCGGCGAUGGUUCAUUCAAAUUUCUGCCCUAUCAACUUUCGAUGCUAGGGUAGUGGCCUAGCAUGGUGACAACGGGUAACGGGGGAUUAGGGUUCUAUUCCGGAGAGGGAGCCCGAGAAACGGCUACCACAUCCAAGGAAGGCAGCAGGCGCGCAAAUUACCCAAUCCCGACACGGGGAGGUAGUGACAAUAAAUACUGAUACAGGGCUCUUUCGGGUCUUGUAAUCGGAAUGAGUACGAUUUAAAUACCCUAACGAGGAACAAUUGGAGGGCAAGUCUGGUGCCAGCAGCCGCGGUAAUUCCAGCUCCAAUAGCGUAUAUUAAAGNUGUUGCAGUUAAAACGCUCGUCGUUGAACCUUGGGCCUGGACGAUCGGUCCCCCUCACCGGGAGCACUGGUUCGGCCGGGCCUUUCCUUCUGGGGAUCCGCAUGCCCUUCGCUGGGCGUGUCGGGGAACCAGGACUUUUACUUUGAAAAAAUUAGAGUGUUCAAAGCAGGCCUUUGCUCGAAUACCUUAGCAUGGAAUAAUAGAAUAGGACGUGCGGUCCUAUUUUGUUGGUUUCUAGGACCGCCGUAAUGAUUAAUAGGGUCAGUCGGGGGCAUCAGUAUUCAAUUGUCAGAGGUGAAAUUCUUAGAUUUAUUGAAGACUAACUACUGCGAAAGCAUUUGCCAAGGAUGUUUUCAUUAAUCAGUGAACGAAAGUUAGGGGAUCGAAGACGAUCAGAUACCGUCGUAGUCCUAACCAUAAACUAUGCCGACUAGGGAUCGGGGUAUACUCAUUUUUGGUACCUCGGCACCUUACGAGAAAUCAAAGUGUUUGGGUUCUGGGGGGAGUAUAGUCGCAAGGCCGAAACUUAAAGAAAUUGACCGGAGGGGCACACAGGCGUGGAGCUGCGGCUUAAUUGACUCAACACGGGGAAACUCACCAGGUCCAGACACAAUAAGGAUUGACAGAUUGAGAGCUCUUUCUUGAUUUUGUGGGCGGUGGUGCAUGGCCGUUUUUAGUUGGUGGAGUGAUUUGUCUGCUUAAUUGCGAUAACGAACGAGACCUUAACCUGCUAAAUAGCCAGGCUAGCUUUGGCUGGUCGCCGGCUUCUUAGAGGGACUAUCGGCUUCAAGUCGAUGGAAGUUUGAGGCAAAAACAGGUCUGUGAUGCCCUUCGAUGUUCUGGGCCGCACGCGCGCUACACUGACGGAGCCAACGAGUUCAUUUCCUUGACCGAGAGGUCUGGGUAAUCUUGUUAAACUCCGUCGUGCUGGGGAUAGAGCAUUGCAAUUAUUGCUCUUCAACGAGGAAUGCCUAGUAAGCGCAUGUCAUCAGCAUGCGUUGAUUACGUCCCUGCCCUUUGUACACACCGCCCGUCGCUACUACCGAUUGAACGGCUCAGUGAGGNGUUCGGACUGGCCCAGGGAGGUCCGG